GACGAACGCUGGCGGCGUGCUUAACACAUGCAAGUCGAGCGGUGCGGGAACGGGUGAGUAACGCGUGAGUAACCUGCCCCCUCCCUGGGAUAACAGUUGGAAACGGCUACUAAACCGGAUAGGUGGACUCGCGUCCUAUCAGCUUGUUGGUGGGGUAGUGGCCUCCCUAGGCGACGACGGGUAGCCGGCCUGAGAGGGGGACCGGCCACAUUGGAACUGAGAUACGGCCCAAACUCCUACGGGAGGCAGCAGUAGGGAAUCUUGGGCAAUGGACGCAAGUCUGACGUAGCAACGCCGCGUGUAUGAAGAAGGUUUUCGGAUCGUAAAACUCUGUUGGUAGAGAAGCGGUAUCUAACCAGAAAGCCACGGCUAACUACGUGCCAGCAGCCGCGGUAAUAC
Molecule: ribosomal RNA, 399 nt
Filed under: uncultured bacterium
Lineage: Bacteria
Description: partial 16S ribosomal RNA
Rfam family: Bacterial small subunit ribosomal RNA
Source: RNAcentral